AGACAUUGAGACCUCAGCGAGUCGCUGCACGCAAUGCUCCAUCCAUGUUCUCUAAAAUUAUUGGAACAUCUGUAGAUGAGUUAAAUGAUGAUUCAUCAAAUAAUGAGUUGGUGCUAGAAGAUUCAGACAUGCAGAGCUCUGAAGCGUAGAGAAACAUGCCAAACGUGCAACAUAAAAUAUAAAAGAGGAAAAACCGUCACUGGUCAAGUCAAAGGAUGUAUCAAAGCCUAGUGAAGGUCCUGAAUCUCAUUUGAAUAAUGGGAGUAGGAAGAGAUUUGUUCUU
This 283-nucleotide long non-coding RNA is filed under the name Carica papaya (papaya). Its description in RNAcentral is "long non-coding RNA (CPAP_LNC015224)". The record is from RNAcentral. Lineage: Eukaryota; Viridiplantae; Streptophyta; Magnoliopsida; Brassicales; Caricaceae.